AUACUUACCUGGCAGGGAGAUACCAUGACCACAGAGGUGGGUUUCCCAGGGCCAGGCUUGUCCAUUGCACUCCAGAUGUGCUGACCCCUGCAAUUCGCUGGGAAAUCACAGGGGUCAGCAUAAUAUGUGGCAGUGGGGGACUGAAUUCAUUCUUUCCUCUG
Molecule: small nuclear RNA, 161 nt
Organism: Tupaia belangeri (northern tree shrew)
Lineage: Eukaryota; Metazoa; Chordata; Mammalia; Scandentia; Tupaiidae
Gene: U1
Rfam family: U1 spliceosomal RNA
About the family: U1 is a small nuclear RNA (snRNA) component of the spliceosome (involved in pre-mRNA splicing).
Source: Ensembl